UUUAACCACGAGACCAUCAGGGCUGGCUUGUAAAUUAUUUUAUUUUUUGUCUUAUUCCUAAAGGAUUUGAGUAUGCUAAAAAUGCAUGUAAUCCUCUAACAUUUUUUUAAAGUUGAAGAUAAAUUUAUUAGGAUAAAGGAGUAAUGAAAGGCAACAGAGGUAUUAAAAAAUGUAUGCUAUGAAGUCCUGAAAUUAUUAAAGGUGGGCAUAGACCUUUCUCUGAAAUUCUGGAGAACUAUACAAAACUAUUUAAGAAAUAUUUCAUUUUGAAUCAAAAGUAUACCAAUUAAUCAGGAAAAGCACUUUGCUCCAGGCACUGAAGACAGAGAGUUUUCUGUUUUGAAUUCUUUUAGCAUAAUACAGAGUGAAGGAGUAAGCAGAAGGCUCAUAACAUCUUUCUAGUAAAUUCUGGGGUGACGUUCAUAAAGCUGUUCUAUAGACAGGGAUACUUGUUGAACAACUCCAGAAGACACUGGUCAUGUCAUUGUGUGUGUGAAGGUGCCCCUGGAAUUGUACCCUGCUGCCACACUUGGUGGACCUGUUGAUGGGUUUUGCUAAUCAGACUGAGGUCAUAAAUUAAAUUUGGGAAAAAUAAUUCUAGAGGGGCUCAAUAUUAUUCAACUCUCUAGUGCUCUGGAUUAGUCCAUGGAUAAAAUGAUGGAUUAUGUAUCUGUUAGGAAAUUCUUUCUGAUAUUAUUUCUCAAGGUUGAACUUUUGGCACAUGCCGGGCAGUUAGUCAGGGCGCAGCAUACCUGCUAAUGCUUCACCAAUCAGCUCAAUGGGAGCUGGGCUUGAAGAGCAGUUUCUGGGCUCCAUGUGUCCUCCUGCAUGUUGAAGAUCUAAAGACUUCAUAUUUUGUCAAUUCUGGAUUCAGUGCCUUUAAACAUGAUUAAUUUUUUGCAAAAUGAGAAGACAAUAACAUUGUUUCAGGAGAUGUGAGUCUGACAGACUUCCCUCUAUCAACCUCAUAUUAAAAAAUUCCUAAGAAAACUUAAAAUGUAGACAGUCAUAUUCCCUGAGAUGUGCAAGAAAUGCCAUUUUUAGCUUCUGGAAGUUCAAAGACAAAGAAGAGAUCAGGAACGGGGAACUAUAGAGAGUACUAAUUAAGAAUAUGGUUUCUGGAGUCAGAUCAGGGUAUAAAAUGUCUAUACCACUAACUUGCUGUAUAACUGGCCAAAUUGUUUACCUCUCUCUGUCUCAGUUGCCACAUCUGUAAAAUGAGGAGAAUGAUGCCUAGUUCCGAGGACUGAUGUGUGAGGAAAAUAUGAUGAUACGUAAAUCAUGUACAAAGUGCCUGGGAAAUUGGGAGUAUUCAAUAGAUGGCAGCUUUUUGUUUUUAAGUAAAAUAGAGUGGCAUGUGAGAAAGCAAACAAGUAAAAGAAGAAACAACAUGCGAUAUAGGAAAAACGAUGGAGAGAAAGCAAACCAAAGUGGACUUCAGUGACCCAGUGAAAAGAGGUCGCUGAGCAAAAUGAACAAUUUUGCACCCAAUGUCACUUGCCUAUCUGGCCAUGUUCCCUUAUUGGUUCGUUACUUUGGUAGUUAUUGAUAUGUGUCUCGUGAAAAGUCAUGACACUCAGAAGAGUCUUAAAAGGUCAUGAACAAAUGGACUGGACAGAUGAUUGUCACAGCCUGAGCUCAGCUAGAGAAGUACUGACUUUGCACAUUGUCAAUGCUCCAUUUUCUCUGUUGCUCUAGACCUUUUCCUUUACGGACAUUCCUGGUUGCAGGAUAAAUUAAAUCUACUCUGUUAAAAAUGAGACAUUCUAUGGUAAGCUAAUUGUGUAUGUACAGCCAUCCCGUUGUAAAAUGCACCUUUAGAGACAAAAGUAUCAAAAGGCCUAAAAAUUAUUUUUAAAACAGGAGGCUGUUAGGCCAAUUUGGGUUUCAGAUUAGGCUGAACUUUUCCAUCCUCUGAGGAUGGCAUGAUUUCCCAUGGUUCCUUGGGGAUCUCAUCUGAAAUAGAAUUGGAGGGAAAGGCAAAAUGAUUGACAAGGGCAGGUGAUGGGAGCUCAGGCGUCCCGCUGAGGGGGCUCACUUAGGAUUCCAAAUUAAAGUCAGCUACAGCCCCACGCUGGCUUGUGCUGACCCAUGCAGACACUGAGUCAAUUCUGUGCUAAGUACUUACGAUGUACAGAUUAGCAAACACAGAGGUUGAGGGUCUCGGUGCAUCCUCUGUCUUUCAGAAACAAACAGGCAGAGUUGCAAUAGUGAGGAAAUUGACAUGAAGCUUUACAAAGCAUUUUCUAAGCUUUGUAUAUUUUUCCAUGUGGUUAUUACCAGGUUCCUUGCAUUUUAUUGUAUAAUUCCAUUCAAAAAAUAUUUAUUCUCCCUCUGCUUUCCUUCAAAACCUUAAUUAAGGUGCUCUGGACCUAGAAAGAAACUGAUAUUCAUUAGGUACUGGCUUUGUUUUUCUACAUACAUUAAGUUAAGUCCUCACUCUGAAAUUCUACAAUAAAUAUCGCUAUAUGAAUUUCACAUAACUAAGGCUUCUAAGAUGUUAAAUAAUUCACCAAAGCCAGCACAGCGAAUGACAGAACCGUGAUUUGAAUCAAAGAUUCAUAUACCAGUGAGUAAGAUGCAACCCCUGCCUUCAAAAAGCCCAAACUUCCAGGAGAGUAAUACGUUAAUAGAUGAUUGCAAUCCAAGAGAGACCAAAGGUAACACUGUCAUGAGUGCCUAGCUUAGAGAUUUUCACAUAGUCAGCAUGCUAGAAAUGUUUAUGGUAUCAGUGAAUAGAGAAUAUGUAUGAAAAUUGUGCCUGAUGAAUAUAAAAACACCCUUGAGUGUGAACUCUGAAAUAGCGCUCAUAUGUCAACAAAUAUAUAUUCAGCCAAGGAAUAAGAGAAUCUAUUAAAGGAAUGGCAUGAGCCUUGGGAAAGUUUGAUCUGCUAUCUUCUGAAGAACUUUUUCUGAAGUUUCUGCUUGCCACCCUGAUCUUAUAUGCCUCUUCCAUGAGGGGAAAUUGUGUUAUAAAGGAUGAGGUCAUUAUGGGCCACAUUUUUGGAAUGCCUUCCUAUGCUUACCCAUCCCAGACAUAAUGGACAUCCUCAUCUCAAGUAUGUCCUGAUGUAUUUGGGGUCUUAGCUGAGCCAGAGCUGAGGAUCAUUUUUUUCUGAUGAAUGGAACUGAGUGAUACUUUUUUCCCCUCUCUGUAUCACAUCCCCAAGCAUCUACUUGCAUCCACAAAUUUACAUGGAAGUAAAGAUUAGAAUAGAAAUAAAUUAUUUGAAAGAUCUUCAUCAGCAAGGAUGAGAGUGGGAAGCUGCAAAACAUUUAUUUUAAGAAGAAACAGCGGGUGCUUGAGAGAAAGAAGGCUCACUCAGAAAUCCAGCGGGAGGGCUGGAGGAGAGUGAGGGAGCAUCUUGACAGUUGGAACUUGAGCGUGCAACCAACCCAGUUUCACUCAAUCAGGAGGUGAUGCGUCUGCUGAGGUGGGGGUAGAAUUGUUGACAACUCUAUGUGUUUACCAAAGGAGCUCACUCAAAUUGCAAAACACUGAAAGAAACAGCCAAGUACAGUCCUUUUAAUAGUUUAACAAAAGUCUGGGAGCCCAUUUUCAUUUUACAGCAAACUAUUGGUUCACCGGGCACAGUAAGUAUUAGGGACACUGGUGCCUGGAUACAUUGGUAAGGUCUGUCCCUUAGGUGCAGAGGGUGAGGGCAGAAUGGUUGCUUGGCUAGCCCUGAGGGUGGCGGCAGUGAGGACAAGUGCAUCUACAAGUCCCAGUUUUACCAACCUGGAUGUGGGAAGAAUCUUGAAUCACAGCUAAGGGAAGGGUGGCCAAGACACCCAAUGGUGAAGCAGCUUCUGGGGACAUCCACAAAACGCCGUUUGGUCUUUGCAAGAUUUCCUCAGUGAGCUGGGAUGUUUUCACUGUCUGAAAUAAUGUUUAACUUUCUAUCUGCAUCAACAUGGAUAAUUCUCAAAAACAAAAUGUUGAGUGAAAAAAGCAGAUUGCAAAAAGAUAAGUACAAUAUGCCAUCGCUUACAUGUAUGUUUAAAAUACAUGAAAUACUGGAAUAUAUUUUUAUGGAUGCAUAUACAUUUAUAUAUGGUAAACAUUUUUCGAAAGCAUGGAUGGAGAGGAAUGCAAAUUGCUUCGGGAUGCUAGUUAACUCCGAGAGAGGGAAACCUGGCGAGGGGUCUUCUGCGCUUCAAUUCUGCCCAUUACAUUUCACCCCUCAAACAUUGCUGAAGCAAAACUGGCACCAUUUUAAUCCUUGUUAUAUUUAGGUGAAGGGUUCUUUUUUCCCCUUCUUUCUAAUGUAUUCGAAAGGUCUUAUAGUUAAAUAUUUUUAUAAUGGAAAAAAUCAGGCUUGCUCGUUAAUGUUAAAACUUUAGUGUUUAUAGGCUGAUGAGAUCUGUGGCUUUUGGGCUACACUUAUAGUUUUGUUAUCUUUAAGGAAAAGAGUUAAAAUUAUCCCAGGAAUCUACUUUUCUUGAGGAUUAGACACAUGGAAAGUUUCAGCUUUAUAAUUUGAUGGGGAUUGAAGCAUCUGUCCACAGAAAGUUGUCUUUAAUUGUGAAAAUAGGAAUGUGAUUUUUUUCAUUAUCCAUGCAUAGCUCUAAAGCAGCUAAGGACGUCAUGUUCAACUUCUAAAGGCUUUACGUUUGAGAUAAGACCAAGCAUAAAGAAUUCAGACUCUAAAAAUGAUAAUGCAUAUGAAAGUUCUGACUGAAUGAGAAACUAGCUUAUGCUGGAAAUCUGCAUGUAAUUUUAACUAUAAUCUGCUCACCCAUGAAUGCUAUUAUCUAUUACUCUGUUUCAGACUAAGGUUUUUGUCUGUACAUGUGUGCCAUCUCUUUGACACAAGGUUUUGGUUUCCAGUGUUUUUAUUUCAAAUAAGUAGAACAGAAAAUGGAAUCCUAAAUAAAUGAUUUCUUAACUUCAAAGAAAACCCCAAGUUUUAAAUUUUCUAUUUUUGGUAGUCUAGUAUUCUUUUUCUCUUCUUUCCCAUCAAAUAUCUUAUGGGAUGGAAAGUGAGUAGACCAGCUAUAUUUUAUUAAAGAAUGUGGCACAAAAUUGUGAGAUGAGGAAGAUUGGUAACGUUUCUUUUACUCUAACAAAUAGGACGUGAAAUCAAAUGAAGAGUGACUGCAGAGAUUUGGGGGAAAGCUAUAGUUUAUUUUUGUCUGUGUGUGCGUGUAUAUUUUUUGGAGAGCGGAAGGGAUUCUUAUAAGCAACAUGUGGUCUGUACUAACAGGACUACGGAAGCUGUUCCAGUGGUCCUGAGGAAAGACAACAACUGCCUCAAAUCCCACUUGCCCCUCUCCUUAUUCACACUUUCUCCGCAUCCCUUAUUCUACACCAGAACCUCAUUCUUGCUUUCCCCUACCUCUUCCAAAAUGAUGACCCCUCUGGAAACUUCUUCCAUCAUAUCUAUCUCACACACACGUAGACACACAUACCCCUAGAGUCAUCAUAUCCUACCUGGUGUUGCUAAUAACAAUUUCAUGAAUGUUCUUCUUUUCUAUGAGAAGACUGCAACUUCCCUAAGGGUAGGGACCUCAUAAUGUUUUUUGUCUGGUUUGGUUGUUCUUUAAUUCACACAGCAGUACCAGUAAAUGGGACACACAUGGAGAGAGACUUUACCUCACCUAUAGCCAGGAAGUGGAGGAACUGAGGGUGGGGUGCUUUGGCCAAGGACAUGUAGUGAGGGUGCCUGAGUGAUUCCAGCCCUUAAACUCUAUUAGGACUGGAACCCUGCCCUCGUCUGAAGCAUGCUUGGUUAGGAGUCUGCCUCCCCAGGACUUGCCUCUCCAUAAGUUAACUUGAUAUGGUGGGAGACCGCAACUUUGGAAUUAGGCAAAUCUGACGGCCUUCAGUUAGGGAAGUUGGUUAACUUUACUGGGCCUCAAUUUACUCAUGUCUAAAACAUAAAUGAUAAAACUUCCAUGUAAAGUUUUGAUGAGGAUCAGUUUAAUUGGAGAAGUUGUAUGCACCCAGCCUAGCACAUAGCAGAUGCUCAAUAAACUUUAGUUCCAUUCUUUUCUCUGCCAAGUCCUUCUAUUAGGCAGCUGGUAUCAGCUUCAUAUAUUCCAAGCUUCAGGGCUUAAAUCUUUUUCCAAACCAAACCAAAUGACAAAACAUGUCAAUUGUAAAACUGCCAUCCUCUGUCUUGAGUUUAAAUGAUGUAGUGCUCCAUCCACUAUAUCAACCCUAUUUAGAUAUCAAUAGCAAUUUGAACCCAAAAUUUUCAUGUUAUUUGGACCUGGACCUUAUGACUUGAGCUGCUGACUAUCCUCUUUGAGCACCAGCCAGGUGAGUACCCCUAUCCUCAAAGCCAUUUGAUCCCACAUUUCUUCCCUUUCCCACUGAUCUGAUCCUAGGACGUCCAAUGGCUAAGUCUGCCCUAAGACUUCUUUACGUGAGAUUGGAGCUGAGAUAAGAUUAGAAUCCAGCUCGCCUAACUCCUAGUCAAUUACUCCUUUUGUGCUGCCUAUCCACACGAGACACCCAAUUAAUAGAUUCUAAUUCAUCUGUUGAAAUAUAGAAAGAUGGAUCAGAACAAAGCAGAUGGCUCUGUGAGUGAUGGGGAGUCAGUGGAGGACUAUAGGUGUGCUGAGUGGAGAAUGAGGGUGUUGGUACAUUCAGCCAGAAAUUAAGGGCUGGCCUGAGAUAUAUUGAAUAGACUCUGUUCUGUUAAAAGUCUGAAGGUAGUAAUAUAGGAUGUUAAAACUGGGGCAUUCAAAGUGAUUUUUUUCCAAACAAGGCUGCUCAGAGUAUUCAGGCUCUAAGUAAAUCUGCUUACUAAGAUAGCUUACUAUCAGCAUUAAAUUUAUCCAUUCAACAAACAUAGAUUGAGCACCAAAUCAGAUCCAAUUUAUGCACCUCCUCCAGUUUCCUCGGCCUCACCGAUCUCCUGGGCCAUUGGCCACUUGGUCCUUGAGAGCUCUGGCUGCUACUGGUAUUGCCAUGGCUAUAGCAGUGGUAAAUUAUCCCCAGGCAACACCCGCUUGCCCAGUGAGUGAUGAAGUCUGGCACCGCCUCUGCCAUGCCCUUUGUGGUGGGAGCCACAUAGAUCUGGAACUGAGGCUUGACCUGACCAGAGCUGUACAGACUCUCUUUCCAUCUGCGACACUGCAGCUCAAAUGAAGCUCCACAACACAGGGCAUGCAAUCCAGCUUCCUUGUGGCUGCCCUGAAGUGCAGAGAUGGCGGUAGACGAGGUUGGCUAGUUAACCAUGAACCGGAGAACCUUGAUCAAUGAGAGAAAAGAGGAUAUAAAUUCCUUUCCCUUCCUCCCUCCAACCCAUCGCUCCAAGGCACAGUGCUUGUGUACAGCCCAUCUGGAAACAUCCUUCAUGGCUGAGCAGCUGGCUGUGUGUCUUGAGAAGCUGCAGCCAGCUUGGUCAUGGACAGCCUGACUGUAAUCACAUUUUUCCUUCUUCCUUAUUUCACUUUCUUUUUCUCUCAGUCUUGCUGUCCUGGGAUGGAUCCUCUCAAUAAAGAAUUAGCACUCAAAGUUUGUCUUGAACCUAUCUCUAUGGCAUCCAUCCCAGCUAAGACAAGCAGCUAAUGUAAGCCAGACACCAUGCUAGGUGUGGGACAUAAAGCGGUGAACAAGACAGACACGGUCCCCACCCUAAAGAAGGCUUCGGCAACACACUACUAGAAAAAAAGAAAAAGGCACAAUUUGUGGCAGCACUGUUAGCGCUUCAAGUCCUAUUAAAGGACCCUCCUUUUCAAGCAGAUGGUGGCUUCACUGAUAACAAAGAAAACAACAGUGGUGGGAGAAAAGAUGGCCAGACCAAGUUUCAAAGAAGCAAAACACCAAGGGAAAAGUUAUUAAUAUUUCUUGGAGAAUGAAACACUGAAAAAAAAAUCUUUCAAUGGAAAUGAUACAAAGGAAAUAAUUUAUUGAAGAGAGCCAGUAUUAUCAAGGGCAUAACGUCCCUAGAUCUUUUCAGACUUUCUGCCUCUUUGCAGAUGGAUGAAGAAAUGGAGUUAAAAUGUAUCUAAUUUGAAACAAAAUGUAAGUGUUACAGACUGGAACAUAUUUUUAUAUUGGCAUAUUUUGUACCCAGCUGGAAUAUUUUAAGCGAAGCUUUGAGAAGGUCUCUCUAAGGAGGGGAUGUUUGAGUUGAGCAAUAAAACUUUGAGUAAUCAAAA
Equus caballus (horse) is the source of this 8115-nucleotide long non-coding RNA. RefSeq lists it as uncharacterized. The record is from RefSeq and is a predicted model, not a curated record. Lineage: Eukaryota; Metazoa; Chordata; Mammalia; Perissodactyla; Equidae.